GCGCUUCAAAUGCACGGAAAAUCAAGGACUUACAAGGACUGGACACUAUGUGAUCUGACUACGAACCAGAAGGUCGGCAGUUCGAAUCUGUCUGGGCGCACCA
RNAcentral lists this transfer RNA (103 nucleotides) under Acidobacteriota bacterium. Its description in RNAcentral is "tRNA-Arg". Lineage: Bacteria; Pseudomonadati; Acidobacteriota. The record is from RNAcentral.